GAUGAACGCUAGCUACAGGCUUAACACAUGCAAGUCGAGGGGAAACGACAUCGAAAGCUUGCUUUUGAUGGGCGUCGACCGGCGCACGGGUGAGUAACGCGUAUCCAACCUGCCCACCACUUGGGGAUAACCUUGCGAAAGUAAGACUAAUACCCAAUGAUAUCUCUAGAGGACAUCUGAAAGAGAUUAAAGAUUUAUCGGUGAUUGAUGGGGAUGCGUCUGAUUAGCUUGUUGGCGGGGUAACGGCCCACCAAGGCUACGAUCAGUAGGGGUUCUGAGAGGAAGGUCCCCCACAUUGGAACUGAGACACGGUCCAAACUCCUACGGGAGGCAGCAGUGAGGAAUAUUGGUCAAUGGGCGAGAGCCUGAACCAGCCAAGUAGCGUGCAGGAUGACGGCCCUAUGGGUUGUAAACUGCUUUUAUAAGGGAAUAAAGUGAGCCUCGUGAGGCUUUUUGCAUGUACCUUAUGAAUAAGGACCGGCUAAUUCCGUGCCAGCCGCCGCGGUAA
RNAcentral lists this ribosomal RNA (508 nucleotides) under uncultured bacterium. Its description in RNAcentral is "partial 16S ribosomal RNA". It matches the Rfam family "Bacterial small subunit ribosomal RNA", at positions 28 to 523 of the family's 1533-position model. The record is from RNAcentral.